AACGCGAAGAACCUUACCUACACUUGACAUACCUCUUAGGGCUUUCAGAGAUGAUCGCUUUCAGUUCGGCUGGGGAGGAUACAGGUGCUGCAUGGCUGUCGUCAGCUCGUGUCGUGAGAUGUUGGGUUAAGUCCCGCAACGAGCGCAACCCUUAUCGUAUGUUGCCAGCAUUUAGUUGGGCACUCAUGCGAGACUGCCGGUGACAAGCCGGAGGAAGGCGGGGACGACGUCAAGUCAUCAUGGCCCUUACGUGUAGGGCUAGAAACGUGCUACAAUGGUGGUGACAAUGGGCAGCGAGGUCGUGAGGCCAAGCUAAUCCCAAAAAGCCAUCUCAGUUCAGAUUGUAGUCUGCAACUCGACUACAUGAAGUUGGAAUCGCUAGUAAUCGCAAAUCAGCAUGUUGCGGUGAAUACGUUCCCG
Molecule: ribosomal RNA, 420 nt
Filed under: uncultured Hyphomicrobiales bacterium
Lineage: Bacteria; Pseudomonadati; Pseudomonadota; Alphaproteobacteria; Hyphomicrobiales
Description: bacterial SSU rRNA
Rfam family: Bacterial small subunit ribosomal RNA
Source: RNAcentral